ACUGGCAUAGCCGGCGGCAUGGCCGGCGUCGUAGGCGCGCUGCAGGCGGGCUUCCUCGGGCUCCGGCUCUGGCUCGGGUUCGGGCGGCGGUCC
Molecule: transfer RNA, 93 nt
Filed under: Pseudorhodoferax aquiterrae
Lineage: Bacteria; Pseudomonadati; Pseudomonadota; Betaproteobacteria; Burkholderiales; Comamonadaceae
Description: tRNA-Leu
Source: RNAcentral